UCUUAUCCACGUGAGAGGAUAAAGAUGAGUAAUUGCACAUUUGAAUUCAAAUCAAAUUUUGAAUUCAAAUGGAAACCAAUUUAUUCCUAUCCACUAAGGACAUGAGAAGAGGAGGCCGUGGCUUAAUUUGUGCAUGAGUGAUUUCAUGAGAAACAUUUUCUCGUGUAAUAAAUGGGGCGUUAAAAGAGGAUAAGGUCAAGGCGCUAAGAUU
RNAcentral lists this long non-coding RNA (211 nucleotides) under Elaeis guineensis (African oil palm). RNAcentral's name for it is "long non-coding RNA (EGUI_LNC056061)". The record is from RNAcentral. Lineage: Eukaryota; Viridiplantae; Streptophyta; Magnoliopsida; Arecales; Arecaceae.